RNA transcript from Lagopus leucura (white-tailed ptarmigan), 2448 nucleotides. It is a transcript of the gene named zygote arrest 1, with no coding region annotated. Lineage: Eukaryota; Metazoa; Chordata; Aves; Galliformes; Phasianidae. The transcript is spliced from 5 exons. The record is from RefSeq and is a predicted model, not a curated record.
AUGGCCGAGGACGCGAUGGAGAGCUACCUGUACGCUGCCUACCCGCCCUACUCGUACCGCUACCCACCGCCCAAGGGCAAAGGCGGGUCGGGCGGCUGGCGGCCGCGGGGCGGCUACUUGGCGGGCUACGGGGAGGCGGCGGCGGCCGCGGCCGAGUACUUCGACAACUACCAGCGUGCGCAGCUGAAGGCCAUCCUGUCGCAGGUGAACCCCAACCUGACCCCGCGGCUCCGCAAGGCCAACACCAAGGAGGUGGGCGUGCAGGUCAACCCGCGGCAGGACGCCUCGGUGCAGUGCUCCCUCGGGCCCCGCACGCUGCUGAGGCGCCGGCCCGGCCUCGCCCCGUCGCGACCCCGCGAGGCGGCCCCGGAGCAGGAGCAGGGCAGCCCGGUCACCACCGGCACCCGAGCCGUGCGCUUCCCGCGCACCGUCGCCGUGUACUCGCCCGUGGCGUCCCGUCGUCUCACCGCCUUCCCCGAGGAGCCCGAGCCGCCACCGCGGGAGCCCGAGGCGUCGCGGGAGCCCGAGGCGUCCCGGGAGCCCGAGGCGCCGCCGGCCCCGGCAGCCGUCGAGGAGGAGCGGCGCGAGGCGGAGGCGGUGCGCGCCAGCUGGGAGAAACCGCCCGAGCGCGAGGCCGCUCCGCUGGAGCAGCGCGGGGCCGCGGCGCCGGACGGGGAUCGGGAGGGGGCAGAGCCGCGGGAGGAGCCGCCCGCCGCGCCCCAAAAGCAGGAGGCGGCCCCGGGCAAGGCCCGUCUGCGCUUCCAGUUCCUGGAGCAGAAGUACGGCUACUACCACUGCAAGGACUGCAACAUCCGCUGGGAGAGCGCCUACGUCUGGUGCGUGCAGGGCACCAACAAGGUGUAUUUCCGUCAGUUCUGCCGCACCUGCCAGAAGUCCUACAACCCGUACCGCGUGGAGGACAUCACCUGCCAGAGCUGCAAGCAGACGCGCUGCACCUGCCCCGUGAAGCUGCGCCACGUGGACCCCAAGAGGCCGCACCGCCAGGACCUGUGCGGGAGGUGCAAGGGGAAGCGCCUCUCCUGCGACAGCACCUUCAGCUUCAAAUACAUUAUCUGAGGAGGAGGGGGAUUUUGUUUGUUUAGGGCUCUUCCAGGGGAACUGCAGGCUCCGCAGGUUGUUUUCCGUUGUUGUUGGUUGGGUUGAGGGUGGCUGGGAAAGCUGCGAGUAAAGAUUUGGUGAAGCCUCUGUUGGUCAGGUGGGGCUGUGCCCAGUUUGGGGGUGUGCGUUGAGAUUUUGGUAAUUGUGUAAGGGAAGAGCCCGCAAAUACUGGUUUGCGAAUUAGUGACAGCCUGGGCUGCGGCCAGCUCAAGGCUGUGUGGAGUCUCAGACAGGAAAGAACGCUGGUUACUCAUCCUGCAUGGGAAGCUCAACCACUUGUGCAUCAGGCUGACAUCCACCGUGGGUGGUGGAGCACAUCGCAAAGGGGGCCAUGGCGGUAUUCAGUCACUGUGUACAUUGGUGCUGCAGGGCUCCUGCCCUGCUGUUCCUCUCUGGAAGAGGCUGAGAAUGACUGUGUAGAAGUCAGGCUGCUGCUCGUAUGGCUGCCCGGGCUUGGCUGAGCUCGUGUUAUAAGUUGAGAGCACAUGCUGCUUGGGGUGGUGUUAAUUUGUCUUCAGAAGCAGCUAUCACUGGCUGAUGGCGAGAGAGUUUUUGAUGUUACGCAUCAGGUGAACAGAAACUUUGGGUUAUUGGGAAAAAUGGCACUUGAAAGGCUCUAGGUGACCUGCAUCUGCCCAGCUUCCUCUGAACCUUCAGGUGCUGCACAAAGAGCUGCACAUGUGGUGGUGUGUGCUUGGGGUCUUCUGCCUCCUGUCAGGGAAGGAGCAGAUCACUGCCCAUCUGGGAUGGGGUUUGCAGCUAGAGGUGAUGCACCUGGACUAUUUCUGCUGCUAGGGUGAGGUCUCCAUGGGGAUGAGCAUGUUUCAGUGGUGUUAUGCACAUCAGCAUGCUACAGCAGUGCCACCUGCACAGACAACUCAGGGAAACCUGUGUCCCACUACAUUCUACCUCAUAGCUAAGGAGUUGGGUAAACAAUGGAGAAAUGUAUACUUUCCUGAGAAUGUGAAUAAAGCUGUUACCUUUGAAAUUAGCACUACACUGGACUGAGUCUUGUGGAGAACUCUUCUAAGGUGUCUUUCUCUAGAGAACUGAUUUUUACUCCAUCGGGAGUGGCUGAAGCAACACAAGUUCUGUGCCAUAUCAAGGCAGCUGACAGAAGUAGCAGUUCAGCUCUUCCUAUGUACACAGCUCUCCUCACAAGCAUGGCUUUGAGGGCUACUUGCUGUGGAGUUACCAGCAAUAGCCAGAGUGGAAAUGCAAUACAGCUGGGCACUGCUGCCUUGGAAGGCACACAGCUGGUGCUGAGAGCCCAGCUGAUCUUCAGGAAAGCUCCUUCAGUGGUGAAAGAGGGACAGGCUGGCCCUACCU